Molecule: transfer RNA, 73 nt
Filed under: Bos taurus (domestic cattle)
Lineage: Eukaryota; Metazoa; Chordata; Mammalia; Artiodactyla; Bovidae
Also listed under: 1 other name
Rfam family: tRNA
About the family: Transfer RNA (tRNA) molecules are approximately 80 nucleotides in length. Their secondary structure includes four short double-helical elements and three loops (D, anti-codon, and T loops). Further hydrogen bonds mediate the characteristic L-shaped molecular structure. tRNAs have two regions of fundamental functional importance: the anti-codon, which is responsible for specific mRNA codon recognition, and the 3' end, to which the tRNAs corresponding amino acid is attached (by aminoacyl-tRNA synthetases). tRNAs cope with the degeneracy of the genetic code in two manners: having more than one tRNA (with a specific anti-codon) for a particular amino acid; and 'wobble' base-pairing, i.e. permitting non-standard base-pairing at the 3rd anti-codon position.
Source: Rfam by way of RNAcentral
UCCCUGGUGGUCCAGUGGCUAAGACUCCAUUCUCCCAAUUUUGGGGGCCCAGGUUCAAUCCCUGGUCAGGGAA